RNAcentral lists this ribosomal RNA (2894 nucleotides) under Escherichia coli. RNAcentral's name for it is "partial 23S ribosomal RNA". It matches the Rfam family "Bacterial large subunit ribosomal RNA". Lineage: Bacteria; Pseudomonadati; Pseudomonadota; Gammaproteobacteria; Enterobacterales; Enterobacteriaceae. The record is from RNAcentral. RNAcentral also lists the same sequence under 1 other name.
GUUAAGCGACUAAGCGUACACGGUGGAUGCCCUGGCAGUCAGAGGCGAUGAAGGACGUGCUAAUCUGCGAUAAGCGUCGGUAAGGUGAUAUGAACCGUUAUAACCGGCGAUUUCCGAAUGGGGAAACCCAGUGUGAUUCGUCACACUAUCAUUAACUGAAUCCAUAGGUUAAUGAGGCGAACCGGGGGAACUGAAACAUCUAAGUACCCCGAGGAAAAGAAAUCAACCGAGAUUCCCCCAGUAGCGGCGAGCGAACGGGGAGCAGCCCAGAGCCUGAAUCAGUGUGUGUGUUAGUGGAAGCGUCUGGAAAGGCGUGCGAUACAGGGUGACAGCCCCGUACACAAAAAUGCACAUACUGUGAGCUCGAUGAGUAGGGCGGGACACGUGGUAUCCUGUCUGAAUAUGGGGGGACCAUCCUCCAAGGCUAAAUACUCCUGACUGACCGAUAGUGAACCAGUACCGUGAGGGAAAGGCGAAAAGAACCCCGGCGAGGGGAGUGAAAAAGAACCUGAAACCGUGUACGUACAAGCAGUGGGAGCACGCUUAGGCGUGUGACUGCGUACCUUUUGUAUAAUGGGUCAGCGACUUAUAUUCUGUAGCAAGGUUAACCGAAUAGGGGAGCCGAAGGGAAACCGAGUCUUAACUGGGCGUUAAGUUGCAGGGUAUAGACCCGAAACCCGGUGAUCUAGCCAUGGGCAGGUUGAAGGUUGGGUAACACUAACUGGAGGACCGAACCGACUAAUGUUGAAAAAUUAGCGGAUGACUUGUGGCUGGGGGUGAAAGGCCAAUCAAACCGGGAGAUAGCUGGUUCUCCCCGAAAGCUAUUUAGGUAGCGCCUCGUGAAUUCAUCUCCGGGGGUAGAGCACUGUUUCGGCAAGGGGGUCAUCCCGACUUACCAACCCGAUGCAAACUGCGAAUACCGGAGAAUGUUAUCACGGGAGACACACGGCGGGUGCUAACGUCCGUCGUGAAGAGGGAAACAACCCAGACCGCCAGCUAAGGUCCCAAAGUCAUGGUUAAGUGGGAAACGAUGUGGGAAGGCCCAGACAGCCAGGAUGUUGGCUUAGAAGCAGCCAUCAUUUAAAGAAAGCGUAAUAGCUCACUGGUCGAGUCGGCCUGCGCGGAAGAUGUAACGGGGCUAAACCAUGCACCGAAGCUGCGGCAGCGACGCUUAUGCGUUGUUGGGUAGGGGAGCGUUCUGUAAGCCUGUGAAGGUGUACUGUGAGGUAUGCUGGAGGUAUCAGAAGUGCGAAUGCUGACAUAAGUAACGAUAAAGCGGGUGAAAAGCCCGCUCGCCGGAAGACCAAGGGUUCCUGUCCAACGUUAAUCGGGGCAGGGUGAGUCGACCCCUAAGGCGAGGCCGAAAGGCGUAGUCGAUGGGAAACAGGUUAAUAUUCCUGUACUUGGUGUUACUGCGAAGGGGGGACGGAGAAGGCUAUGUUGGCCGGGCGACGGUUGUCCCGGUUUAAGCGUGUAGGCUGGUUUUCCAGGCAAAUCCGGAAAAUCAAGGCCGAGGCGUGAUGACGAGGCACUACGGUGCUGAAGCAACAAAUGCCCUGCUUCCAGGAAAAGCCUCUAAGCAUCAGGUAACAUCAAAUCGUACCCCAAACCGACACAGGUGGUCAGGUAGAGAAUACCAAGGCGCUUGAGAGAACUCGGGUGAAGGAACUAGGCAAAAUGGUGCCGUAACUUCGGGAGAAGGCACGCUGAUACGUAGGUGAAGCGACUUGCUCGUGGAGCUGAAAUCAGUCGAAGAUACCAGCUGGCUGCAACUGUUUAUUAAAAACACAGCACUGUGCAAACACGAAAGUGGACGUAUACGGUGUGACGCCUGCCCGGUGCCGGAAGGUUAAUUGAUGGGGUUAGCGCAAGCGAAGCUCUUGAUCGAAGCCCCGGUAAACGGCGGCCGUAACUAUAACGGUCCUAAGGUAGCGAAAUUCCUUGUCGGGUAAGUUCCGACCUGCACGAAUGGCGUAAUGAUGGCCAGGCUGUCUCCACCCGAGACUCAGUGAAAUUGAACUCGCUGUGAAGAUGCAGUGUACCCGCGGCAAGACGGAAAGACCCCGUGAACCUUUACUAUAGCUUGACACUGAACAUUGAGCCUUGAUGUGUAGGAUAGGUGGGAGGCUUUGAAGUGUGGACGCCAGUCUGCAUGGAGCCGACCUUGAAAUACCACCCUUUAAUGUUUGAUGUUCUAACGUGGACCCGUAAUCCGGGUUGCGGACAGUGUCUGGUGGGUAGUUUGACUGGGGCGGUCUCCUCCUAAAGAGUAACGGAGGAGCACGAAGGUUGGCUAAUCCUGGUCGGACAUCAGGAGGUUAGUGCAAUGGCAUAAGCCAGCUUGACUGCGAGCGUGACGGCGCGAGCAGGUGCGAAAGCAGGUCAUAGUGAUCCGGUGGUUCUGAAUGGAAGGGCCAUCGCUCAACGGAUAAAAGGUACUCCGGGGAUAACAGGCUGAUACCGCCCAAGAGUUCAUAUCGACGGCGGUGUUUGGCACCUCGAUGUCGGCUCAUCACAUCCUGGGGCUGAAGUAGGUCCCAAGGGUAUGGCUGUUCGCCAUUUAAAGUGGUACGCGAGCUGGGUUUAGAACGUCGUGAGACAGUUCGGUCCCUAUCUGCCGUGGGCGCUGGAGAACUGAGGGGGGCUGCUCCUAGUACGAGAGGACCGGAGUGGACGCAUCACUGGUGUUCGGGUUGUCAUGCCAAUGGCACUGCCCGGUAGCUAAAUGCGGAAGAGAUAAGUGCUGAAAGCAUCUAAGCACGAAACUUGCCCCGAGAUGAGUUCUCCCUGACCCUUUAAGGGUCCUGAAGGAACGUUGAAGACGACGACGUUGAUAGGCCGGGUGUGUAAGCGCAGCGAUGCGUUGAGCUAACCGGUACUAAUGAACCGUGAGG